This is a long non-coding RNA of Rosa chinensis, 270 nucleotides long. RefSeq lists it as uncharacterized. The record is from RefSeq and is a predicted model, not a curated record. Lineage: Eukaryota; Viridiplantae; Streptophyta; Magnoliopsida; Rosales; Rosaceae. The transcript is spliced from 3 exons.
CUAGCCCUUCGCCGGAAAUCGUCGCCGCCAUACCGCCGCCGUCGCCGGAAUCCGGAUUUCAACCAAAAUUUCCAGAUUUUCUUCUCUUCAUCCCCUCUUUCCAUUUCUCUAACCAAAAUCAUGAAAUUUAGCCAUUCAAUCCCCCAAAAACCCUAGAACCCGAAGCUAAAAUUGGGGCUUUUGUGAUUUCUUCUUUCCAAGCUCAAAUCAAGGCUAUGGGUUUGGCAAGGAUUUUUGGUGAAGAAGGCCAAGGAGAAGGAAUAUGACGUG